AGAGUUUGAUCCUGGCUCAGAUUGAACGCUGGCGGCAUGCCUUACACAUGCAAGUCGAACGGCAGCACGGGGGCAACCCUGGUGGCGAGUGGCGAACGGGUGAGUAAUACAUCGGAACGUGUCCUGUAGUGGGGGAUAGCCCGGCGAAAGCCGGAUUAAUACCGCAUACGCUCUACGGAGGAAAGGGGGGGAUCUCAGGACCUCCCGCUACAGGGGCGGCCGAUGGCAGAUUAGCUAGUUGGUGGGGUAAAGGCCUACCAAGGCGACGAUCUGUAGCUGGUCUGAGAGGACGACCAGCCACACUGGGACUGAGACACGGCCCAGACUCCUACGGGAGGCAGCAGUGGGGAAUUUUGGACAAUGGGCGAAAGCCUGAUCCAGCAAUGCCGCGUGUGUGAAGAAGGCCUUCGGGUUGUAAAGCCACUUUUGUCCGGAAAGAA
This 440-nucleotide ribosomal RNA is filed under the name uncultured bacterium. RNAcentral's name for it is "bacterial SSU rRNA". It matches the Rfam family "Bacterial small subunit ribosomal RNA", at positions 8 to 449 of the family's 1533-position model. The record is from RNAcentral.